This 279-nucleotide ribosomal RNA is filed under the name uncultured bacterium. RNAcentral's name for it is "partial 16S ribosomal RNA". It matches the Rfam family "Bacterial small subunit ribosomal RNA", at positions 506 to 784 of the family's 1533-position model. The record is from RNAcentral.
UGCCAGCCGCCGCGGUAAUACGGAGGGUCCAAGCGUUAUCCGGAUUUAUUGGGUUUAAAGGGUGCGCAGGCGGAAUGUUAAGUCAGUGGUGAAAUCUCUCAGCUUAACUGAGAAACUGCCAUUGAUACUGACAUUCUUGAGUUUGGUUGAAGUAGGCGGAAUGAGGCAUGUAGCGGUGAAAUGCAUAGAUAUGCCUCAGAACACCAAUCGCGAAGGCAGCUUACUAAACCAAUACUGACGCUGAGGCACGAAAGCGUGGGGAGCAAACAGGAUUAGAUA